Molecule: long non-coding RNA, 2326 nt
Filed under: Homo sapiens (human)
Lineage: Eukaryota; Metazoa; Chordata; Mammalia; Primates; Hominidae
Description: non-protein coding lnc-EIF4G3-4:1
Source: RNAcentral
UACAAUUGGGCCACUCUGAUCCUGCUGUAGGGGUCUGAGACUGGUUCUCUGUUUCCAACUAAGUGGAUCUAGCCAGCUGCCUCACACAGAGUUGAUGCUCAGUAAACACUUAAGAAGUGCGAAGGGGUGGAUCCAAGUUAGAAAUAAGAAUGGGGAAUUAGCCAAAGCCAGGGCCUCUCAGUCCCCUGUGCCCCAACAUCUAUUCUUCUGAUGGCAGAUGGUUCACCUAGUUGAGCAGCCUCUGGGGGCUCUGCUCAGCAUCCCACCCACUGACUCGGUCGCUCACCCCAUGAGAGAGAUUAGGAGCUUUCACAGGAUCUUGGAACAUCCACUACAGGCUGUGUGGAGCCUUCCCUCUGUGAAGUUGCUGGUCUGUGAGGGUGGCCACGCUGCGCUGGGGUGGGGAGGGGACUCAGGGGCCUAGAAAAGAGCAGGGCCUUCAUCUGAGCAUUCUUCCAUCCCUCCUGGGUAAGGCACACAGGUAUUCAUUCAUUCCACAAAGAUAGGUUGUACUUAAGAAAUAAUUGCUUGAUUAGUUAACUAUAAUGGUUUGUAGGUGUUUUACCAAAUGUGCCUGGCUCAGCAGGUGCUUAAUGCAUAUUUGACUAAUUAAUGACUAGUUUUCAGGCCCUUAACCAGAUGUGCUUAGCAUAGUGCCUGUGCCAUAGGUGUGCAGAUAGUAAAAUGAAUAAAUUAAUGUUUGAAUGAACGAAGGGGUAGGAAGGAAGAUCAGGCUGGGAACAGCCUUUCUCUGCUGAGUGUAUGUAUAUUGUGUGAUCGUGUCCUGGUGUGUGUGUGUGUGUGUUUGUGCCUCCUCUGCUAACAGGACACAAGCUCGUCAUCCUCUCCUGCCACUGCCAUGUCGCCUCAGCCUAAAUCAGCUCUAGUUCUGAACCCCCUCCUGGUCAGUGUGGACCCUGGCCAGCACGUCUGCACAGCUCUUGGCUCAGAGCAGCGGGAGCUGGCCAGACUCCGGCAGCCAGUGUUACCCUGAGACUGCCCCUCGGAGCUCCAAAGAUAUGUCUUCACCAGAAACCAGGGGGGAGUCCCCACGGGCCAGCUCCUGAUGAUCAGACCCAAAACAUUUCUGUUGUUAUUGCCCAGUGGGGCCCCUUGGGAGGAAUCCUGCUUCUGCCUCUGUUGUGUCCCUCUCUGGGUCUCAGAAGGGUUUUCUCCAGCCUGGACCUGGGAGAGGAACAUUCUUCCCCUGGAGUGGAGCUGGGCAGAGUAUCAGGUGACCCCUGAGCCACCUGGGAAAGCAGUGACCACCCCAGAUAUUAACAGUAACCUCAUUACCCAGGAGCAGGUGCUGGUGCUGGCCACAUCUGAGCAAACAUCAGGCCAGUCAAAGCAAAUCUGGCCGGGCGCAGUAGCUUACGCCUGUAAUCCCAGCACUUUGGGAGGCCGAGAUGGACAGAUCACCUGAGGUCAAGAUGUUCGAGACCAGCCUGACCAACAUGGUGAAACCCCGUCUCUACUAAAAAUACAAAAAUUAGCCAGGGAUGGUGGCGCACAACUGUAGUCCCAGCUACUCAGGUGGCUGUGAUGGUGCACACCGGCUACUCGAGAGGUUGAGGCAGGAGAAUCACUUGAACCUGGGAGGCAGAGGUUGCAGUGAGCCAAGAUGGCACCACUGCACUCCAGCCUGGGCGACAGAGCGAGACUCCGUCUCAAAAAAAAAAAAAAAAAAAGAAAGCAAAUCUGAUGAUUCUGAAGGCCAGCCUCUGGGAAUGUCUGGACACAUAGUACGUGUUUACUUACCUUCCUGCUAUGCUUCCUUUCCAGAAACAUGCUGGUGCUUUGCAAACAGAGGCAGCAAAACAAACAAUACAUUCUCCAAGAACAUAUUUUAAAGAAAGCAUUCUACACAGUUUUGAGGCCAGGCUGUCCAGAUGAGUGUCUGUAAAUUAAAUCUAGGAUCUGUUUCUGCUUUCUCAAUUGAUCACGCAUGUCCCAACGGAAAGAAAUGUUUGCUGCCUCUGCAGGUGGUGAACAAGUGCUGAAUAAGGCCUUUCAUUCAUUCGGUUGUUCAUUCAAAAACACGUAUUGAGGCCGGGCGCAGUGGCUCACGCCUAUAAUCCUAGCCCUUUGGGAGGCCGAGGCGGGUGGAUCACCUGAGGUCAAGAGUUCAAGACCAGCCUGGCCAACAUGGUGAAACCUCGUGUCUACUAAAAAUACAAAAAUUAGCCAGGCGUGGUGUUGGAUGCCUGUAAUCCUAGCUACUCAGGAGGCUGAGGCAGGAGAAUUGCUUGAAUCCAGGAGGCAGAGGUUGCAGCGAGUCGAGAUUAUGCCACUGCACUGGGUGACAGAGCAAAAACUCUGUCUC